Molecule: long non-coding RNA, 2072 nt
Organism: Strigops habroptila (Kakapo)
Lineage: Eukaryota; Metazoa; Chordata; Aves; Psittaciformes; Psittacidae
Exons: 2
Source: RefSeq, a predicted model, not a curated record
UGUGGGAUCUUGUGGGUGGGAGCAUUUGUAAGCUUGCAGGCUGGCUAGGACUGGGUUUCAUCUCUUUGUACCUAUUUCUGCUGUUGUUUGAGGAUCCAGCAGGUGCUCAGGGAAUGUGCAUCCCUUUUCCUUGGAGAAAUACAGGCAGCAGUGGAGUUUGGAGCUGGAAAUAGUGUGGCGGUCAGCCACGUCCUCCCUCCUUCCCAUGGGAAGUAAGAUGACUGCACAGAGGCAGAUAUAGGGUUUGUUAUGGACCAGGUCCUCACCUACCAAGCCUUGGGUCAGAUUGGAGGGUUAAUGACCAACCUGGCUGGUUUAGAGGGACGUGCAGCAGAGCUGCUCACUGUAUGCUGGGGCAUACGUUGAGUACUGGUGAAAAGAGAGCAAAGAUCCUGUUCAAAUGACAUGUGCCUCUGGCUUCAGACUGUGAUUCUCGUUUCCUGUUACAAGAAGUACAGCUCCGAGUUCUGGCAUGGGACAGGAACUGAAACACUGUCUGUGCCUGAAAACAACACCUCUCCAAUGAGAUUUACUGGGAGCCUUUAUCUCCCUCAAGCUCAGCGGAUGGAGAGUCCAUCUCUUCUUCCUGUAGCUUCACACUGAUAUCAUAAUGGGACAGACUUCUUACAAAUACUGGUGGGUUUGCUAUGCCUAAAUAUUGCUGCACGCAAACAAUGCAACUAUCAAGUCUUUUUUGGCAGUGAAGCACUUCCUCCCACAAAUGAUGUUAAAGCAAAGAUGUAAACAACAUGCAAACAGUGAUCCGUCCCAUCGCUGUCUGCUCAGCAGGAAGGUCUCUGAGGCCCAUCCGUUUUGUGAUAAAGCUGUCUGUAAUGGAUGGGUUUGAUCCGAAGGCAAGGCAGUUUGCUCGUGACAUGUCUCUGCUGUCAUUCCAGAUGGAUUUGUUCUAACCCGGUGGUUCUCAGGCUGUUUCAUCAGGAAAGUCCCUUUUCCCAUCUGGAGGCCGUCUCCUUCCCACCCACGUUUCUUAUAAGGAGAGCAGAAGCUCUGCUCCUGUGACAUCUCCUUGGGGCUAUGGAGCUGCAGGGAAGGGUGGCUGUUCUGUUCCUGCCUCUCAUCCACAAAUCCUCCUUUUAAAGGUCCAAGUUUCUACCCUGAGCAAGCUGGCCAGCUGCUGUCAGGAUAGAAGACUUCCAUUGUCAGCCUGCACCCAGCCCUGAAACCAGCAGAGAGAGUGAGCAGCUGUGUGGGGCUCAGUUGCUGGCUGAGGUUAAACCAUGGCACUGAACAUGAGUCUGGAGAUGUUGGGCAAAGCAGAAUGAAAACACCAAGUUGCUGAAGCCCCUGGUGCAGCCUGUGUGAUCAGAAACGUCACCAGUUCAGCCAUGCAACAUCAUUUUUCUUCAGGUGCGGAGGUAUCUUUUUGGCAUGCCAGCUCCAAACACUGCUGUUGGAGCAUCCUCCCUGCAAGAGAUCAUGAGCUUCACAAGAAUUCAACAGUAUUCAUUCAUUACAAAUAUGCUCAGCUCAACUGUGAUAAUAUUUUCACUUUCUCAGAGUAAAACGGGGUCAGUGUGUGAUUAUGUUCUUGCUCCUUUUUCCAGGUGAGGGGUCCUUUCCCACCCAGUGCAAACACUGUGCAGGGAUGGUAACAGCAAUUACACGUGCCCGUUACUGGGAAAAGUAGUCCCCAGAAGUACUGUGUGAACAGGGGAUGACACGAUCAUUUCUCCUUCAUGCAUAAAUAUUUCUGACUGUAUCUCGCAUUUAGGAGAUAGUGACUAGCUGAGUUGUUGGGUAAUAGUAAACCCCAUGUUGUUGUCAUUAGCUUGAUUCACCAAGGGAAAAUGUGACUUUAAUUGGUGUCUGACUGGGGACAAAACCACUCAUCAGGAACAGAGUGUUUCGGUGUGGUACAGUGCCACAGUUACUGCUGUCGUUGCUGUAUUCAGGCAGAUGAUAAAGUCAGGAUUGUGCAACUUGGUGCAUAGUUUGCUCUUCAUAACAUUUCGCAGGAGCAGGAGAGGGGCAUGUAUCUAUGUCUGGAUUAAUAUACUCUUACAUGAGAUAAUGCAUUUAAGUUGGGCUACUGUUAAGAGCUUUCUGGGACC